Molecule: ribosomal RNA, 251 nt
Filed under: uncultured bacterium
Lineage: Bacteria
Description: partial 16S ribosomal RNA
Rfam family: Bacterial small subunit ribosomal RNA
Source: RNAcentral
ACGUAGGUGACAAGCGUUGUCCGGAUUUACUGGGUGUAAAGGGCGCGUAGGCGGAUUGUCAAGUCAGUCGUGAAAUACCGGGGCUUAACCCCGGGGCUGCGAUUGAAACUGACAGCCUUGAGUAUCGGAGAGGAAAGCGGAAUUCCUAGUGUAGCGGUGAAAUGCGUAGAUAUUAGGAGGAACACCAGUGGCGAAGGCGGCUUUCUGGACGACAACUGACGCUGAGGCGCGAAAGUGUGGGGAGCAAACAG